AGAGUUUGAUCCUGGCUCAGGACGAACGCUGGCGGCGCGCCUAACACAUGCAAGUCGAACGAGAGAGAAGGAGCUUGCUUCUUCGAUCGAGUGGCGAACGGGUGAGUAACGCGUGAGGAACCUGCCUCAAAGAGGGGGACAACAGUUGGAAACGACUGCUAAUACCGCAUAAGCCCACGGGUCGGCAUCGACCUGAGGGAAAAGGAGUGAUCCGCUUUGAGAUGGCCUCGCGUCCGAUUAGCUAGUUGGUGAGGUAACGGCCCACCAAGGCGACGAUCGGUAGCCGGACUGAGAGGUUGAACGGCCACCAUUGGGACUGAGAUACGGCCCAGACUCCUACGGGAGGCAGCA
RNAcentral lists this ribosomal RNA (351 nucleotides) under uncultured bacterium. Its description in RNAcentral is "bacterial SSU rRNA". It matches the Rfam family "Bacterial small subunit ribosomal RNA", at positions 8 to 353 of the family's 1533-position model. The record is from RNAcentral.